This 438-nucleotide ribosomal RNA is filed under the name uncultured bacterium. Its description in RNAcentral is "bacterial SSU rRNA". It matches the Rfam family "Bacterial small subunit ribosomal RNA", at positions 954 to 1392 of the family's 1533-position model. The record is from RNAcentral.
GCUAAACGCGAAGAACCUUACCUACCCUUGACAUGUCCGGAAGCCUGCUGAAAGGUAGGGGUGCUCGAAAGAGAACCGGAACACAGGUGCUGCAUGGCUGUCGUCAGCUCGUGUCGUGAGAUGCUGGGUUAAGUCCCACAACGAGCGCAACCCUUAUCGUAUGUUGCCAGCAUUAAGUUGGGCACUCGUGCGAGGCCGCCGGUGUUAAGCCGGAGGAAGGUGGGGACGACGUCAAGUCAUCAUGGCCCUUACGUGUAGGGCUACAAACGUGCUACAAUGGUGAGUACAACGAGAUGCGAACCCGCGAGGGGGAGCUAAACUCAAAACUACAUCUCAGUUCGGAUUGGAGUCUGCAACUCGACUCCAUGAAGUCGGAAUCGCUAGUAAUUGCGAAUCAGCACGUCGCAGUGAAUACGUUCCCGGGUCUUGUACACACCG